UAACUCUUAGCGGUGGAUCACUUGGCUCGUGGAUCGAUGAAGAACGCCAGCUA
This 53-nucleotide ribosomal RNA is filed under the name Dirofilaria sp. MK-2010. Its description in RNAcentral is "partial 5.8S ribosomal RNA". It matches the Rfam family "5.8S ribosomal RNA", at positions 1 to 51 of the family's 154-position model. Rfam says of the family: 5.8S ribosomal RNA (5.8S rRNA) is a component of the large subunit of the eukaryotic ribosome. Lineage: Eukaryota; Metazoa; Nematoda; Chromadorea; Rhabditida; Onchocercidae. The record is from RNAcentral.